Pteropus alecto (black flying fox) is the source of this 1637-nucleotide long non-coding RNA. RefSeq lists it as uncharacterized. The transcript is spliced from 3 exons. Lineage: Eukaryota; Metazoa; Chordata; Mammalia; Chiroptera; Pteropodidae. The record is from RefSeq and is a predicted model, not a curated record.
GCCCUCGCCGGCAUUUCAGAAACCUGUUCGAGCCUUUCCUUUACGGCUGAACGUUCUUAUUUACUAAAUAUUUAUUUAGCUCUCUGAGGACUCAGAACUAAUCACUGCCACCUCUCUUUAAUAAUAAAUGGUGAACUUCAAAUGCGAUGGAACUCAACCGACUAAUCAGUGCUCGCCGGGAGGUGCAAAACUGCAACCCGCCAGUGGACAUGAAAGACUGAACAUUUCCUGUUCCAGCUCACGGCCGCCCAGAAUAAACUUACACCAAGUGAGGUGUGGAGAAAAGAUUUGGAAGCGCUUGUUCUUCAACCGCUCUCUUAAAACAACACAGCGGGUAUUUCAGUGAUGAGCUUCGAGUGCCCCACUGUGGAUGAAGGUAUUGGCUUCAUCCGGAAAGUGGAUUAAUGAAUUCCCCCAACAUUAUCAUAGCUGCAUGAAAGAGGUAACUCAAUGUUCUCUAAGAAGGAAUAACAAAUGAAAAUGGCCAAGUUGUUUGAUUCAAGAUAUUUUUUCAUGAAAUAAUCUAUAAAAUGAGCAGUAGUUAAGAAAUAAAAGCUUUCUUUGUGUGAGCCUGUUGAGGUCCAUGGUGAAGGAACCUAUCCUCCUUCACCAUGCUGUUGCACUGUAUUUUUGCUACUUCACUGUAUUUAGUGUAUUAGUCAUGGGAGGCUGUGGUGAAUCCCAACACUUACCCCAGGCUUCACAGAUUACACCAAACUCUUAGUGGUAGGAGAAACCUUAGAGAGCACUCAGUCCUGCCUCUUCAGUGUACUGGGCACGUAAUUAAGACCCAGAGACAGGACAUGAAUAUAAACUUCCUUUUAUGAAGAGACACUUCAAAAUUUGAAUGGGGAUCAAGCCUCUGCAUGCCCAGACGUGUUUAUUUGUCAAGAAAUAGCUCCUGCAAAUAGAAGUCUUAGCUAGAACUUCAACCACUCCAGACCAACGAGACCCCCGAUGAAUACUCUAAUGCAAUUUCAGGAAGCAAGUUGAUUCUGAUACAUACAGCUUUUUCUUGGCCUAAUAUAGUGUCUUCUGAAUUGAGAUACAUGUACAUCGAAGGAUACAUUAUAUACUGUAGGGAAAGGAAAUAUAAUUGGUAUAUCAAGCUGGUGAUUUCACCCAGAUUAUUGUUUAGGAUGAGACUAUAGUUUUAUCAUUGGUAUUCUACCUAUGCAAUUCUUUUUUAACUUUUAAGUAUAGGAUUUAGAAAUACCUAUGAACAUUCUACAUAGUCAACAUGAUGCUUGAAAGAAAAUUUUACACACUGCUGUAUUCACAGAAAAGCUUUGAAAACUCCAGAUAUGUAUGAAGAUUUAAGAGAAAAAUUUUCUAAAGCUUUAAAGACUGUUAGUCUCAUUAAUGUCAAGCCAUUGACUUCUUUGCUUUUUUCUUUAACUUUUUAAAGAAAUGGAGCUCAUUGGCUUUCACUCAGUAAUGUUCACACUUCUCUAUUUGUUUUGCAAGAAACUUCAAGCCUCUUCUGUAUGUAACCUUUCAACUGACAUAUUAUAUGCAUGAUGUGUACUGUUGUUAAAAAAUAAUUGCUCAUUUGAACAUUUAAAAUUUAACCUUCUGUGGCAAGUUUCCAUUCCAUAUGCAAGAUAAAGUGAACGGGAAGAUCAUUAAACUGAAGC